RNAcentral lists this ribosomal RNA (459 nucleotides) under uncultured bacterium. RNAcentral's name for it is "partial 16S ribosomal RNA". It matches the Rfam family "Bacterial small subunit ribosomal RNA", at positions 338 to 795 of the family's 1533-position model. The record is from RNAcentral.
CCUACGGGUGGCAGCAGUGGGGAAUAUUGGUCAAUGGCCGGAAGGCUGAACCAGCCAUGCCGCGUGAAGGUCAGUGCCCUAUGGGCGUUACACUUCUUUCUUGCGGGAGCAUUAAUGGUCACGUGUGGGAUUUUGUAUGUACCAUAUGAAUAAGGAUCGGCUAAAUCCGUGCCAGCAGCCGCGGUAAUACGGGGGAUCCGAGCGUUAUCCGGAUUUAUUGGGUUUAAAGGGUGCGUAGGCGGUUUGAUAAGUUAGAGGUGAAAUGUCGGGGCUCAACCCCGAAACUGCCUCUAAUACUGUUGGACUAGAGAAUAGUUGCGGUAGGCGGAAUGUAUGGUGUAGCGGUGAAAUGCUUAGAGAUCAUACAGAACACCGAUUGCGAAGGCAGCUUACCGAACUAUAUCUGACGUUGAGGCACGAAAGCGUGGGUAGCAAACAGGAUUAGAUACCCGAGUAGUC